UACGGGGGGGGCAAGCGUUGUUCGGAAUUACUGGGCGUAAAGGGCUCGUAGGCGGCCAACUAAGUCGGAUGUGAAAUCCCCAGGCUUAACCGGGGAACUGCGUCUGAUACUGGAUGGCUUGAGUUUGGGAGAGGGAUGCGGAAUUCUAGGUGUAGCGGUGAAAUGCGUAGAUAUCUGGAGGAACACCGGUGGCGAAGGCGGCAUCCUGGACCAACACUGACGCUGAUGAGCGAAAGCCAGGGGAGCAAACGGG
RNAcentral lists this ribosomal RNA (253 nucleotides) under uncultured bacterium. Its description in RNAcentral is "partial 16S ribosomal RNA". It matches the Rfam family "Bacterial small subunit ribosomal RNA", at positions 524 to 776 of the family's 1533-position model. The record is from RNAcentral.